UGCUCUUGAUUUGGUAGCUGUGAUGUCAGUGGAGAAUUAUGUUUAAUUUUUGACUUCUCUGUAUAUGUUGCAUAAGGAUAAAUUUUAAGAUUAAGGACUGAUGUCGAAUUCAAUUUGGGGCAAAUCUCAGACACAUGAGCCAAGCCUUGGGCAUAGACAUAUCAUAAUCGUUUCUUCAAUCGCAUAUCAUUUGCCUUCAUACAGUCGUGAUUCAUGCUAAAGAGUUGUCUGUAUCAAAGAAGAGUUGCAGCUGUGGGAUGAAGAAUUUUUAUGUUUAUAUUUUGAUAUUUGCACUUGUAAAUUUUUAGUUAGUAUAUUUAUUGUAUGUACAGUACAGAAUGUAGAGGUGCCAAUUGGCACCUUAUUUUUUUUAAUCCAACCUCAUAAAUUUGCCACUGAUAUGAGUGGCAUUCCAAAGCUACUAAUAUUAGUGUGGAUUUAGAUUCUGUCUUGUCUUGGAUGAAGUUAUUCCACUGAUGUUUUUUCAGUGCCUAUUG
Molecule: long non-coding RNA, 497 nt
Filed under: Rosa chinensis
Lineage: Eukaryota; Viridiplantae; Streptophyta; Magnoliopsida; Rosales; Rosaceae
Description: sRNA RchiOBHm_Chr3g0451681
Source: RNAcentral